AUGCUACCUCAAGGCAGGCAGGACUACCUGCUGAAU
This 36-nucleotide ribosomal RNA is filed under the name Carpinus turczaninowii (Korean hornbeam). Its description in RNAcentral is "partial 26S ribosomal RNA". The record is from RNAcentral. Lineage: Eukaryota; Viridiplantae; Streptophyta; Magnoliopsida; Fagales; Betulaceae.